Molecule: unclassified non-coding RNA, 657 nt
Filed under: Hevea brasiliensis (rubber tree)
Lineage: Eukaryota; Viridiplantae; Streptophyta; Magnoliopsida; Malpighiales; Euphorbiaceae
Source: RNAcentral
AAAAAAAAAAAAAAAAAAACUCUUAUUACCUUGAAUUAGAAAGCAGAUCUCUUGCAUUGGGUUAUGUAGCAGCAUUUUUUCGGCUCUUUUCAGCAUAGUUGCAUGCAUGUGCAAUUCUCUUGAUGUUGUAAUUGUUUCAUAUUAAAAUCUAUUUACAUGCAUUUAUGUUAUAUUUUUCACUAGUUGGCAAGUGAUAUUUGAAGUUGAAAAUAGUUUAUUUGGCUUAAUUUUAUCAUCAAUUGAUGGGAUCCGGAAUUUAUUUCAGAAAUUAGGAGUUUAUGCUUAGAUUUAAUGCUUGCAUAUUAGACAUUCAAAAAAAUGCGUAUGCGUAGAUGUGGUAUGUUUUCACUUAAAAUUUGACAUUUUUAAAGAGUUUUACGUUUGAAAAAAAAAAGAUGUAUAAAAAGAGUAGUUACUGAUCAUCGUCUCCAAUAUCUAUUAUUCAAAAAAAAGAAAAAAUUUGACGUUUUAAAGAGUUUUACUCUUUCGUUAAUUUCUAAAUGUUAAUAAAAUUUAAACUACCGAGAUCUACCUACUCCACCAAAAUAUACCUGGCUGCAGACAGUAGUUUAGAGGGACGACCAGACAGCAGGGUCUCCCAGUCCAGGUUUUGGUUUUGAUCAAAUCUAAUAGUCAAAUUCUCUCUCUCUCUCUCUC